GCAUGAAGUCGGAAUUGCUAGUAAUCGCGGAUCAGCAUGCCGCGGUGAAUACGUUCUCGGGCCUUGUACACACCGCCCGUCACACCAUGGGAGUCGGUAACACCCGAAGUCUGUAGCCUGACGCAAGAGGGCGCAGCCGAAGGUGGGAUUGAUGACUGGGGUGAAGUCGUAACAAGGUAUC
RNAcentral lists this ribosomal RNA (181 nucleotides) under uncultured bacterium. Its description in RNAcentral is "partial 16S ribosomal RNA". It matches the Rfam family "Bacterial small subunit ribosomal RNA", at positions 1318 to 1500 of the family's 1533-position model. The record is from RNAcentral.